RNAcentral lists this ribosomal RNA (1816 nucleotides) under human gut metagenome. RNAcentral's name for it is "bacterial LSU rRNA". It matches the Rfam family "Bacterial large subunit ribosomal RNA", at positions 1098 to 2925 of the family's 2925-position model. The record is from RNAcentral.
AGGUUGGCUUAGAAGCAGCCAUCCUUUAAAGAGUGCGUAAUAGCUCACUAGUCGAAUGACACUGCGCCGAAAAUGUACCGGGGCUAAACAUGAAACCGAAGCUGUGGAUUUUAUAGAUAAUAUAAAAUGGUAGGGGAGCGUUCUAAUUGCGACGAAGAUGGAUCGUGAGGACUGUUGGAGCGAUUAGAAGUGAGAAUGCCGGUGUGAGUAGCGCAAGAAGGGUGAGAAUCCCUUCCACCGUUUGCCUAAGGGUUCCUGGGGAAGGUUCGUCCUCCCAGGGUAAGUCGGGUCCUAAGACGAGGCCGAAAGGCGUAGCCGAUGGACAACAGGUUGAUAUUCCUGUACCACCUAUAUAACUGAUGGAGUGACGAAGGAGGCUAUAGAAAGCCAGUUAAUGGAUUCUGGUCUAAGCACAUAGGCGUACAUAUAGGCAAAUCCGUAUGUAAUGUAGCUGAAGUGUUAUGGUGAAGGUAAUAGCGAUAUUACUGAAAUUUCUAGACGCCAAACUUCCAAGAAAAGCUUCUAGGGUUAAUUAUAUAGGUGCCCGUACCCAGAACCGACACAGGUAGGCAAGGAGAGUAUCCUAAGGUGAGCGAGAGAACUAUGGUUAAGGAACUCGGCAAAAUGACCCCGUAACUUCGGGAGAAGGGGUGGUCUAGCGAUAGACCCGCAGUAAAGAGUCCCAGGCAACUGUUUACCAAAAACACAGCUCUCUGCUAAAUCGAAAGAUGAUGUAUAGGGGGUGACACUUGCCCAGUGCUGGAAGGUUAAGAGGAGAGGUUAGUAAUGACUUCGGUUAUAUUUACGAAGCUUCGAAUUGAAGCCCCAGUGAACGGCGGCCGUAACUAUAACGGUCCUAAGGUAGCGAAAUUCCUUGUCAGGUAAGUUCUGACCCGCACGAAAGGCGUAAUGAUCUGGGAACUGUCUCAACCAUAGACUCGGUGAAAUCUUAAUACCUGUGAAAAUGCAGGUUACCCGCGACAGGACGGAAAGACCCCAUGGAGCUUUACUGUAGCUUGAUAUUGGAUCUCGAUGUGUUAUGUAGAGGAUAGGUGGGAGACUAUGAUGUUAGGACGCUAGUUCUAACGGAGUCAACCUUGGAAUACCACCCUUAGCAUGUUGAGAUUCUAACCUCGACCCAUUAUCUGGGUCAGGGACAGUGUCUGGUGGGCAGUUUGACUGGGGCGGUCGCCUCCCAAAAAGUAACGGAGGCGCUCAAAGGUUCCCUCAGAAUGGUUGGAAAUCAUUCGAAGAGCGUAAUGGUAUAAGGGAGCUUUACUGCGAGACCUACAAGUCAAGCAGUUACGAAAGUAGGACAUAGUGGGCCGGCGAUUCAGAAUGGAAUGGUCGUCGCUUAACGGAUAAAAGUUACCCUGGGGAUAACAGGCUGAUACCACCCAAUAGUUCACAUAGACGGUGGUGAUUGGCACCUCGAUGUCGGCUCGUCACAUCCUGGAGCUGGAUUCGGUUCCAAGGGUUGGGCUGUUCGCCCAUUAAAGUGGCACGCGAGCUGGGUUCAGAACGUCGUGAGACAGUUCGGUCUCUAUCUGUUGUGGGCGUAGAGAUUUGCAGGGCUCUGACACUAGUACGAGAGGACCGUGUUGGACCGACCGCUGGUCUAUCGGUUAUGCCGCCAGGUGUAAUGCCGAGUAGCUAAGUCGGGCUAGGAUAAGUGCUGAAAGCAUCUAAGCACGAAGCCGACCCUAAGAUAAGAUCUCACUAGAGGGUGGUCAAAGACGAUGACCUUGAUAGGCUAUAGGUGUAAAGACAGUAAUGUCAAAGCCGAGUAGUACUAAUUACCCGAACGAUUCGCUAA